GCGCAAGCUUCCACGGAGCGAACGCCGCGAUGAGGGAGGAAGGCCUUAGGGUUGUAAACCUCUUUUCUCUGGGAAGAAGAACUGACGGUACCAGAGGAAUAAGCCUCGGCUAACUCCGUGCCAGCAGCCGCGGUAAGACGGAGGAGGCAAGCGUUAUCCGGAAUUAUUGGGCGUAAAGCGUCCGCAGGCGGUUUUUUAAGUCUGUUGUCAAAGGUCACAGCUCAACUGUGGAUCGGCAAUGGAAACUGGAGAACUUGAGUGUGGUAGGGGUAGAGGGAAUUCCCGGUGUAGCGGUGAAAUGCGUACGAUAUCGGGAAGAACACCAGUGGCGAAGGCGCUCUACUGGGCCACAACUGACGCUGAGGGACGAAAGCUAGGGGAGCAACUGG
Molecule: ribosomal RNA, 389 nt
Filed under: uncultured Plectonema sp.
Lineage: Bacteria; Bacillati; Cyanobacteriota; Cyanophyceae; Oscillatoriales; Microcoleaceae
Description: bacterial SSU rRNA
Rfam family: Bacterial small subunit ribosomal RNA
Source: RNAcentral